UCAUUGGGAAGUUCCAUUCAAUUCAAAAGGCUUUAUUGGCAUGACUGCAUACAACACAACGUUGCCAAAGCAUGUUUACACAAAUAUAUAUUUUGCUGCCAGUCUACAGCAGUCCUCCCUCUCUCCCAGCAGAACUGUCCAGAUCAUUUAGAUGGUGGAAUUCUGGGAAAAGUUCCAUACGACUGUGUUAUAGUGUUAUUAUUCGAAAUGACUGUUGAUGUCUAAAGAUGACAAUGUCAUGUUACCAUCAUCAAUACUUGUAAUGACAGGCACUCAUUUUGUCAGACAAUGUAAAAGCCUGUGUUCCAUGCCAUUAAGCCGUCAUUGCAUCAAAUAUUAUAACAGACAUCAAGACACUAACCGGUAAUGAAUACAUUACACUGUUAUAUCUUUGGAAAUGUCAUGAAUACUUACUACAGAACAUGACAUCUUUCAUGGUAUGUGUAUUACAUGGUUAUGAUGAUUGUAUGAUGGACAAUUUAAGUAAGGUCUCUCAAUCUUUUUCCAGUUAAUCAUCACUGGAGGUCAUCACUGAAGCAAUGAGGUGAAUUAUUUUUAGCGUGCCCAUUUUGGUUUUAUUUUAUUUUAUAAAAUGUUUUGGCAUGAGUGCCUAAACCUUAUUUUGCCUUUGACUCAUUUCCCUAGUUGCACCAUAGCAGUCACUGCUCCUGUGUAUUUUAUAGGUCAGUCUCUGAUUAGAAGACCCAAUGUAAUCUCUCAUACUUCUCUAGAGGAUGGAGAUACAAGUCUAAUCCAAAGAGUAACUCUGUUCUCUGGGUACACACACAGAUCACUCCUCGGUGGCCAGAAAACACUGAGCCCUUGAUCGCUUUUGGAUUAGUACUAUGGCCUUUUCCGAGACAUCAUCUGCAAUCGUUUAUCGCGACUGCAAACUGUUGUGUCAUAUGCCCCAACCUAUAAUAUCGGUAAUAUCAGCACUGACACAAUAUGUUAAUCUGCUUGAGGUAACUUGUGAAAUUCCUCAUUGGUGCGUGUAAGGCUGUGUCGAUGCCCGGGGGCGAUUACUUUACAGCUUCUUAUAGGCCAUUUAACAUCGUUAAGGCGGAAUCUAAACUAGCCAUUUGCCAGAGGAACAGAGCUGUAAAAGCAAUACAUUUGUUUACCCUUUUAAUGUCACAUCCAGGAACAGGGCAUGCCGCUGGCGCAGUCUCAUCGCACGCUGUAGCACAGAAACAUUACAUCACUGUGCAUUCCGCUGAUUCAUAUUUCUUCACAAGACAUUGCUUGUAGCUAGUUCUGUUGCAUGAACUAAUAUGUAUUCUCCAUGAACUCAUUAUCUCUAAGCUUGUCAGUUGGAGGCAGUGUGGUAUCAGGCACGGCCUUAUCUAAAACUAUGACUGGAUCAGUGAGAUACUUAAGGGAUUUUACACUCCUUUGCCCUACCAACCGAGUCCCAUUGUUGAACUUAUAUCCCUCUUGCUGGAUGCUUCAGUGAUCACGCUUGCAAGCGUGUGUGUUCCAGUGCUAUUCUCAUCUAUAUAGAUACGCGGAUCACCUCGCAGGUCCUCCAUCCUUCCGAGACAGCCAAUAGCCGCACCGUGUCAACCCAGACAGCUCCAAAAUAACUUCAGACGGAUUCGGUGGGAUGAGGAGGGGAGGGUUUUAUAUUUUUAUUAUGAGUGUGGAAAAAAUGGCACUGCAGGUUCAGG
Clupea harengus (Atlantic herring) is the source of this 1670-nucleotide long non-coding RNA. The record is from Ensembl. Lineage: Eukaryota; Metazoa; Chordata; Actinopteri; Clupeiformes; Clupeidae.